GAUGAACGCUGGCGGCGUGCCUAAUACAUGCAAGUCGAGCGAACAGACGAGGAGCUUGCUCCUCUGACGUUAGCGGCGGACGGGUGAGUAACACGUGGAUAACCUACCUAUAAGACUGGGAUAACUUCGGGAAACCGGAGCUAAUACCGGAUAAUAUAUUGAACCGCAUGGUUCAAUAGUGAAAGACGGUUUUGCUGUCACUUAUAGAUGGAUCCGCGCCGCAUUAGCUAGUUGGUAAGGUAACAGCUUACCAAGGCAACGAUGCGUAGCCGACCUGAGAGGGUGAUCGGCCACACUGGAACUGAGACACGGUCCAGACUCCUACGGGAGGCAGCAGUAGGGAAUCUUCCGCAAUGGGCGAAAGCCUGACGGAGCAACGCCGCGUGAGUGAUGAAGGUCUUCGGAUCGUAAAACUCUGUUAUUAGGGAAGAACAAAUGUGUAAGCAACUAUGCACGUCUUGACGGUACCUAAUCAGAAAGCCACGGCUAACUACGUG
Molecule: ribosomal RNA, 497 nt
Filed under: uncultured bacterium
Lineage: Bacteria
Description: partial 16S ribosomal RNA
Rfam family: Bacterial small subunit ribosomal RNA
Source: RNAcentral